Molecule: ribosomal RNA, 473 nt
Filed under: uncultured Magnetococcus sp.
Lineage: Bacteria; Pseudomonadati; Pseudomonadota; Magnetococcia; Magnetococcales; Magnetococcaceae
Description: bacterial SSU rRNA
Rfam family: Bacterial small subunit ribosomal RNA
Source: RNAcentral
UUCGGGACGCCGGCGAGUGGCGAACGGGUGAGUAACACGUGGAGACCUGCCCUGGGGUGGGGGAUAACAACUGGAAACGGUUGCUAAUACCGCAUACGCCUUACGAGGGAAAGAUUUAUUGCCCCUGGAGGGUUCCGCGUCGGAUUAGCUUGUUGGUGGGGUAACGGCCUACCAAGGCGACGAUCCGUAGCUGGUCUUAGAGGAUGAUCAGCCACACUGGAACUGAGACACGGUCCAGACUCCUACGGGAGGCAGCAGUGGGGAAUAUUGCGCAAUGGGGGCAACCCUGACGCAGCGAUGCCGCGUGGGUGAAUAAGGCCUUAGGGUUGUAAAGCCCUUUCAGUGGGAACGAUGAUGACGGUACCCACAGAAGAAGCCCCGGCUAACUCCGUGCCAGCAGCCGCGGUAAUACGGAGGGGGCGAGCGUUGUUCGGAAUUAUUGGGCGUAAAGAGCGCGUAGGCGGCUUGUCAAG